ACCUGGUUGAUCCUGCCAUAG
This 21-nucleotide ribosomal RNA is filed under the name Bromus hordeaceus (soft brome). RNAcentral's name for it is "partial 18S ribosomal RNA". The record is from RNAcentral. Lineage: Eukaryota; Viridiplantae; Streptophyta; Magnoliopsida; Poales; Poaceae.